RNAcentral lists this long non-coding RNA (490 nucleotides) under Chrysemys picta bellii (western painted turtle). Its description in RNAcentral is "lncRNA (ENSCPBG00000024796.1)". Lineage: Eukaryota; Metazoa; Chordata; Testudines; Emydidae. The record is from RNAcentral.
CAAUUUGGAAACCAUUUCAGACCAGGGGCAGCCCCAGAAACCCAGUCUAGCUCGGGAUAAAUUGAUAGUCAGUGGACGCUGCGUGUUGAACUAUAAGAACUUUUGUCCUCUGAGAACCAAAAAUCUACUUCUGGGAUGAAAAGCGCUCUCACUUCUGAUUUUCAGGACUGUGAGAGUUGGAUUCCUCUGUGAACAUCCGGAUCAGUGGGCACAGCUGCAUUUCAUUGGGAACAGAAGCACACAGAGAGCCCGGGGCAAGGUACACAGCUGGAUUCAGAGUCUCUAAGUUCCAGAUGUCCUGGCAAAGCAUCAAGGGGUUGCUAUGGAAGCUGCUCAUCCCAUCAUCGCUAGCCUUGGAAGGGACUUCUGGGCACCACAGGUCCUUAUCAUUCGCUUUGUGGGCAACGACUGCAUUACUUACAAAGAGAAAACAUUACAGAAAAUGAGAGACGAAGAAAAGAGAAAAGCAACAAGCAGAGGAAGUGAUCAA